CGGUAAUUCCAGCUCCAAUAGCGUAUACUAUAGUUGUUGCAGUUAAAAAGCUCGUAGUUGGAUUUCUGCGGGGACGGAGCGGCCGGACGCAACUUGCGUCUCGAGCUAGCGCUUUCCCCGCAUCCUGCCGCGAACCGUGCUACCAUUAGUUUGGUGGCGCAGGGGAUCGGCUCGAUUACUUUGAGAAAAAUAGAGUGUUCAAAGCAGGCCACACGCCUUGAAUAAGUUAGCAUGGAAUAAUGACUAAGGACUUCGGUUCUAUUUUGUUGGUGUUCGGGACUGAAGUAAUGAUUGAUAGGGACAGUUGGGGCGGUCUGUAUUCCAAAGCGAGAGGUGAAAUUCUUAGACCUUCGGAAGACAAACAGCUGCGAAAGCGUUCCGCAAGGAUGUUCCCUUUGAUCAAGAACGAAAGUUGGGGGAUCGAAGACGAUCAGAUACCGUCGUAGUCUCAACUAUAAACUAUACCAGCUAGGGAUCGGCCAACGUUUAAUUAUUCGACUUGGUCGGCACCUUAUGAGAAAUCAAAGCAUCUGGGUUCCGGGGGGAGUAUGGCCGCAAGGCUGAAACUUAAAGGAAUUGACGGAAGGGCACCACCAGCCGUGGAGCCUGUGGCUUAAUUUGACUCAACACGGGAAAACUUACCAGGUCCAGACAUAGGAAGGAUUGACAGAUUGAUAGCUCUUUCUUGAUUCUGUGGGUGGUGGUGCAUGGCCGUUUUUAGUUGGUGGAGUGAUUUGUCUGCUUAAUUGCGUUAACGAACGAGACCCCAGCCUGCUAAAUAGCGCGGCCGAGCUUUGCUCGGUGCGAGCUUCUUAGAGGGACCAUGAUGCACGAUAGCACAAGGAAGUUUGGGGCAACAACAGGUCUGUGAUGCCCUUAGAUGUUCUGGGCCGCACACGGGCUACACUGGCGCCUGCAACGAGCAUAUCAGCUGGCCCGAGAGGGUCUUGGCUAAUCUUUUGAACCGGCGCCGUGCUUGGGAUUGACCUUUGCAAUUGUUGGUCAUGCAACGAGGAAUGCCUUGUAAACGCGAGUCAUCAGCUCGCGUUGAAUACGUCCCUGCCCUUUGUACACACCGCCCGUCGCUCCUACCGAUGAAUGUUCCGAUGAAAUUUUCGGAGAGCGCCAGAGAACGGGGCUCUGCCUUGCAGAUCUGGAGGCUCAAAGUCACUUAAAUCUGAACAUUUCGAGGAAGGAGAAGUCGUAACAAGGUAGCCG
Molecule: ribosomal RNA, 1218 nt
Filed under: uncultured Rhizaria
Lineage: Eukaryota
Description: SSU rRNA
Rfam family: Eukaryotic small subunit ribosomal RNA
Source: RNAcentral